RNAcentral lists this ribosomal RNA (253 nucleotides) under uncultured bacterium. RNAcentral's name for it is "partial 16S ribosomal RNA". It matches the Rfam family "Bacterial small subunit ribosomal RNA", at positions 524 to 776 of the family's 1533-position model. The record is from RNAcentral.
UACGUAGGGUGCGAGCGUUGUCCGGAAUUAUUGGGCGUAAAGCGCUUGUAGGCGGUUUGUCGCGUCUGCCGUGAAAAUCCGGGGCUCAACCCCGGACUUGCGGUGGGUACGGGCAGACUAGAGUGUGGUAGGGGAGACUGGAAUUCCUGGUGUAGCGGUGAAAUGCGCAGAUAUCAGGAGGAACACCGAUGGCGAAGGCAGGUCUCUGGGCCACUACUGACGCUGAGAAGCGAAAGCGUGGGGAGCGAGCCGG